GUCAGCACCCCCGGCUGAAGCACGGGGGCUUCGUGCCCUCCCCUUCAGGUAGCUGACCAGCUUAA
Molecule: small RNA, 65 nt
Filed under: Phormidium sp. OSCR
Lineage: Bacteria; Bacillati; Cyanobacteriota; Cyanophyceae; Oscillatoriales; Oscillatoriaceae
Description: HEARO
Rfam family: HNH endonuclease-associated RNA and ORF (HEARO) RNA
Source: RNAcentral